ACAGCAGUAGCCGCGGUAAUACGAAGGGUGCAAGCGUUAAUCGGAAUUACUGGGCGUAAAGCGCGCGUAGGUGGUUUGUUAAGUUGGAUGUGAAAUCCCCGGGCUCAACCUGGGAACUGCAUUCAAAACUGACUGACUAGAGUAUGGUAGUGGGUGGUGGAAUUUCCUGUGUAGCGGUGAAAUGCGUAGAUAUAGGAAGGAACACCAGUGGCGAAGGCGACCACCUGGACUAAUACUGACACUGAGGUGCGAAAGCGUGGGGAGCAAACAGGAUUAGAUACCCCGGUAGUCCCUGUCUCUUAUAC
RNAcentral lists this ribosomal RNA (305 nucleotides) under uncultured bacterium. Its description in RNAcentral is "partial 16S ribosomal RNA". It matches the Rfam family "Bacterial small subunit ribosomal RNA", at positions 508 to 807 of the family's 1533-position model. The record is from RNAcentral.